GUGUAUCAAUUUCAGUAAUUCAAAGAGGAAUGAGAAUUAUUAAAACUGAGAUGUGCAGGGAAACUAGAGGGAGCCUUAUACAUUAAAAGGACAACAUACCAGUGGUCCAUGCAAUGUUACCAUACAAGAGAUGCCGCUCGCUCAAUAUAGAAGUUCCUCGAAAACUGGAUCGACAUUUUGUCCCCAUUUCCCAUUAUACAAUUCUAACAGCUUUUCAGCUGGUGUCACACCUGUUCUAGCUACUUCGGUCACCUCAUUCAAGAAACCAGACUCCUUGAAACCUCUUCUCUCUAAGCCCUCCUUUGCUAACUUAAC
Molecule: unclassified non-coding RNA, 315 nt
Filed under: Hevea brasiliensis (rubber tree)
Lineage: Eukaryota; Viridiplantae; Streptophyta; Magnoliopsida; Malpighiales; Euphorbiaceae
Source: RNAcentral